This 1304-nucleotide ribosomal RNA is filed under the name Euconocercus iris. RNAcentral's name for it is "16S ribosomal RNA". The stretch from base 875 to 1230 matches the Rfam family "Bacterial large subunit ribosomal RNA", at positions 2077 to 2643 of the family's 2925-position model. Lineage: Eukaryota; Metazoa; Arthropoda; Insecta; Orthoptera; Tettigoniidae. The record is from RNAcentral.
GAAAUUAUUAUUUAGUGUUUUUAGGUAGAAAAUUUUAAUUAAAAUAAUUUUAGUGGAUAAUUUUUAGUAUAGUUUAUAGAAAGGAAUAUGAUAUGAUAGAGGAGUAGUACUGUGAAGGAAAUAUGAAAUAGAAUGAAAUAAUUAUUAAAUAAAAAGGAGGAUAAUAUUUGUACCUUGGGUAUCAGGGUUUACUAAAAUAUAGUAAUGAUUUAUAGCUCCCGAAUUAGAAAGGGUGAAAGUAAUAUAGUAGUUAAUGUGGUAUUAUUAUUAUUAAUAUUACUUUUGUGAUGAAACGUUAAACGUUUUCUAAAAUAUCUGGUUUUUCAAGAAAUGAAUUUAAUUCAUGUUAUUAAGAGUAGGUGUUAAUUAUAUUAACAGUUUAUUUUUAAUAGCAAAUAUAUUGGGGGAUAAGCUCUUAUGUAUAUAUUAUAAUUUUAAUAAAUUAAUACAAGGAGGUAGGCUUUAGAUUAGCUAUCUGUGGAAUAAUGUUAUAAAUUGUUUUAUGAUUUUUGUUAUUUUUUUAAUGUAAUGUUUAAUUUGUUUAUUGAAGUAUUUUGUUUAAUUGUUUAACAAAAGGAAUAAUGGUAGAAUGAGUAUAUGAAUUUGUUAAAAUAAAUUAUUAGGGGAAUUUAUGAUAAGGAAUUAGGCAAAGUAUCACUCGCCUGUUUAUCAAAAACAUCUCUUUUUGUGUCUAUAUAAGGUUGGGCCUGCCCGCUGAAAUUGUUGAAGGGCCGCGGUAUUAUGACCGUGCAAAGGUAGCAUAAUCAUUAGUCUUUUAAUUGAGGGCUGGAAUGAAUGGUUUGACGAGGUGAUAACUGUCUCAUCAUGAUUUAUAGAAGUUUACAUUUGAGUUAAAAGGCUUAAAUUUUAGUGGAGGACGAGAAGACCCUAUAGAGCUUUAUGUAUAUAGUUGAAUUUACAUUCAGAAGUUUAUUGAAAUUUAGGUUAAUUGCAUUAUGUUGGGGUGACAUAAAGAUAGAAGUAACUCUUUAUUUUUAUAACAUUGAUUUAUGGAUUAUUGAUCCAUUCUUAAUGAUCAUAAGAUGAAGUUACCUUAGGGAUAACAGCGUAAUUUUCCUUGAGAGUUCGUAUCAACAGGGAAGAUUGCGACCUCGAUGUUGGAUUAAGGAAUAUAAUUGGAUGUAGCCGUUUAAUUUAUAGGUCUGUUCGACCUUUAAAUCCUUACAUGAUCUGAGUUCAGACCGGCGUAAGCCAGGUCGGUUUCUAUCCUUAGUAUAAUUUUAUAUUUUAGUACGAAAGGACCAAAUAUUUUAAAUAUUUUAUAUAAUAAUGAUAACUAAUAA